GGGGAAUUUUCCGCAAUGGGCGAAAGCCUGACGGAGCAAUACCGCGUGAGGGAUGACGGCCUAUGGGUUGUAAACCUCUUUUUUCAGGGAGGAAAAAAAUGACGUUACCUGAAGAAUAAGCAUCGGCUAACUCCGUGCCAGCAGCCGCGGUAAGACGGAGGAUGCAAGUGUUAUCCGGAAUCACUGGGCGUAAAGCGUCUGUAGGUGGUUGACUAAGUCAACUGUUAAAUCUUGAGGCUCAACCUCAAAACCGCAGUCGAAACUAUUCAACUAGAGUCUAGUAGGGGUAAAGGGAAUUUCCAGUGGAGCGGUGAAAUGCGUAGAGAUUGGAAAGAACACCGAUGGCGAAGGCACUUUACUGGGCUAUGACUAACACUGAGAGACGAAAGCUAGGGUAGCAAAUGGGAUUAGAUACCCCAGUAGUC
This 425-nucleotide ribosomal RNA is filed under the name uncultured cyanobacterium. Its description in RNAcentral is "bacterial SSU rRNA". It matches the Rfam family "Bacterial small subunit ribosomal RNA", at positions 356 to 795 of the family's 1533-position model. Lineage: Bacteria; Bacillati; Cyanobacteriota. The record is from RNAcentral.